UACGAAGGGGGCUAGCGUUGUUCGGAAUUACUGGGCGUAAAGGGCGCGUAGGCGGCGUGUCAAGUCAGGCGUGAAAGCCCCGGGCUCAACCUGGGAACCGCGCUUGAGACUGGCAUGCUCGAGUUCGGGAGAGGAUGGUGGAAUUCCCAGUGUAGAGGUGAAAUUCGUAGAUAUUGGGAAGAACACCGAUGGCGAAGGCGGCCUUCUGGACAGCGACUGACGCUGAGACGCGAAAGCGUGGGGAGCAAACAGG
RNAcentral lists this ribosomal RNA (253 nucleotides) under uncultured bacterium. Its description in RNAcentral is "partial 16S ribosomal RNA". It matches the Rfam family "Bacterial small subunit ribosomal RNA", at positions 524 to 776 of the family's 1533-position model. The record is from RNAcentral.